Molecule: ribosomal RNA, 497 nt
Filed under: uncultured bacterium
Lineage: Bacteria
Description: partial 16S ribosomal RNA
Rfam family: Bacterial small subunit ribosomal RNA
Source: RNAcentral
GAUGAACGCUGGCGGCGUGCCUAAUACAUGCAAGUCGAGCGAACAGACGAGGAGCUUGCUCCUCUGACGUUAGCGGCGGACGGGUGAGUAACACGUGGAUAACCUACUUAUAAGACUGGGAUAACUUCGGGAAACCGGAGCUAAUACCGGAUAAUAUAUUGAACCGCAUGGUUCAAUAGUGAAAGACGGUUUUGCUGUCACUUAUAGAUGGAUCCGCGCCGCAUUAGCUAGUUGGUAAGGUAACGGCUUGCCAAGGCGACGAUGCGUAGCCGACCUGAGAGGGUGAUCGGCCACACUGGAACUGAGACACGGUCCAGACUCCUACGGGAGGCAGCAGUAGGGAAUCUUCCGCAAUGGGCGAAAGCCUGACGGAGCAACGCCGCGUGAGUGAUGAAGGUCUUCGGAUCGUAAAACUCUGUUAUUAGGGAAGAACAAAUGUGUAAGUAACUAUGCACGUCUUGACGGUACCUAAUCAGAAAGCCACGGCUAACUACGUG